Molecule: ribosomal RNA, 356 nt
Filed under: Methylophaga sp.
Lineage: Bacteria; Pseudomonadati; Pseudomonadota; Gammaproteobacteria; Thiotrichales; Piscirickettsiaceae
Description: bacterial SSU rRNA
Rfam family: Bacterial small subunit ribosomal RNA
Source: RNAcentral
AAAAUUAAACUGAAGAGUUUGAUCAUGGCUCAGAUUGAACGCUGGCGGCAUGCCUAACACAUGCAAGUCGAACGAUGAAGUCUAGCUUGCUAGACGGAUUAGUGGCGGACGGGUGAGUAAUGUAUAGGGAUCUGCCUAGUAGUGGGGGACAACAGCCGGAAACGGCUGCUAAUACCGCAUACGCUCUACGGAGGAAAGCGGGGGCUCUUCGGACCUCGUGCUAUUAGAUGAACCUAUAUCAGAUUAGCUAGUUGGUGGGGUAAAGGCCUACCAAGGCGACGAUCUGUAGCUGGUCUGAGAGGAUGAUCAGCCACACUGGGACUGAGACACGGCCCAGACUCCUACGGGAGGCAGCA